AUUGAACGCUAGCGGGAUGCUUACACAUGCAAGUCGAACGGCAGCGCGGACUUCGGUCUGGCGGCGAGUGGCGAACGGGUGAGUAAUGUAUCGGAACGUGCCCAGUAGCGGGGGAUAACUACUCGAAAGAGUAGCUAAUACCGCAUACGCCCUACGGGGGAAAGGGGGGGAUCGCAAGACCUCUCACUAUUGGAGCGGCCGAUAUCGGAUUAGCUAGUUGGUGAGGUAAAGGCUCACCAAGGCGACGAUCCGUAGCUGGUUUGAGAGGACGACCAGCCACACUGGGACUGAGACACGGCCCAGACUCCUACGGGAGGCAGCAGUGGGGAAUUUUGGACAAUGGGGGAAACCCUGAUCCAGCCAUUCCGCGUGUGCGAUGAAGGCCUUCGGGUUGUAAAGCACUUUUGGCAGGAAAGAAAUCGCACGGAUUAAUACUCUGUGUGGAUGACGGU
RNAcentral lists this ribosomal RNA (452 nucleotides) under uncultured Alcaligenaceae bacterium. RNAcentral describes it as "bacterial SSU rRNA". It matches the Rfam family "Bacterial small subunit ribosomal RNA", at positions 30 to 476 of the family's 1533-position model. The record is from RNAcentral. Lineage: Bacteria; Pseudomonadati; Pseudomonadota; Betaproteobacteria; Burkholderiales; Alcaligenaceae.